CUGGAAAUGAUGCAUAAAACCAUCUGAGUGUCUGUGAAGGUGUUUGUAUUCAUACUGUCUGAUCCAG
Molecule: small nucleolar RNA, 67 nt
Filed under: Amphilophus citrinellus (Midas cichlid)
Lineage: Eukaryota; Metazoa; Chordata; Actinopteri; Cichliformes; Cichlidae
Source: RNAcentral